AGGUCCUUAGCUCAGCUGGCAGAGCAGUUGACUCUUAAUCAACGGGUCGUGGGUUCGAUCCCCACAGGGCCUA
RNAcentral lists this transfer RNA (73 nucleotides) under Cohnella nanjingensis. It matches the Rfam family "tRNA". From Rfam's summary of the family: Transfer RNA (tRNA) molecules are approximately 80 nucleotides in length. Their secondary structure includes four short double-helical elements and three loops (D, anti-codon, and T loops). Further hydrogen bonds mediate the characteristic L-shaped molecular structure. tRNAs have two regions of fundamental functional importance: the anti-codon, which is responsible for specific mRNA codon recognition, and the 3' end, to which the tRNAs corresponding amino acid is attached (by aminoacyl-tRNA synthetases). tRNAs cope with the degeneracy of the genetic code in two manners: having more than one tRNA (with a specific anti-codon) for a particular amino acid; and 'wobble' base-pairing, i.e. permitting non-standard base-pairing at the 3rd anti-codon position. RNAcentral also lists the same sequence under 2 other names. Lineage: Bacteria; Bacillati; Bacillota; Bacilli; Caryophanales; Paenibacillaceae. The record is from Rfam by way of RNAcentral.